UCUGUGAAGGUGGUGUGUGACAUGUUGUCAGU
Molecule: non-coding RNA, 32 nt
Filed under: Homo sapiens (human)
Lineage: Eukaryota; Metazoa; Chordata; Mammalia; Primates; Hominidae
Source: RNAcentral